GUUUGCUUCUCUGGCGUACCCUGUGACGACGGCAUCCGCCUCAGAGCGUGGCUGAAGCGUGUGGCCGGAGGACCCGGGAGUUCCUAAGAGCUGGUGAUGAUACUUGUCUGAGACAACAGCCCGGUGAGAGAAGAACUUCCCAGACAGCGAGGUGGCUUUGUUUGGCUCUCGACCGGCCUCUCGCCGUGACUCACAUCUUCAGCCCUCUGAGAGAUAAGUGGAGCCCACAGAGGGGAUCAAAGCAGGGCGGCGGUCGGGACUGAGAUCGGUUUGGGUUUUUGAGUGAGCUUUGGGGAUGGGGAGGUUCUGGAAAUGACCCCAUAGGCCCCAAUGAGGGAAAGCCUCACUUUGGCUAACAAUGCUGAGGCAGGCAGGGCAGAGCAGUCCCAGGGUGUGUUGUCACUUGUCUCUCGUGCCUUCUGUGUCUUAUGUGCAUCUCAUGUAAUGUGUCUCUUGCCUUAGUCCUCCCAGGGGUAUAUGAGAAACCCCGGGGUCCUUCCG
This is a non-coding RNA of Cyanistes caeruleus (blue tit), 501 nucleotides long. The record is from RefSeq and is a predicted model, not a curated record. NCBI's taxonomy places the organism in Eukaryota, Metazoa, Chordata, Aves, Passeriformes, Paridae.